UAGGGAAUCUUCCACAAUGGACGCAAGUCUGGUGGAGCAACGCCGCGUGAGUGAAGAAGGGUUUCGGCUCGUAAAGCUCUGUUGUUAAAGAAGAACGUGGGUAAGAGUAACUGUUUACCCAGUGACGGUAUUUAACCAGAAAGCCACGGCUAACUACGUGCCGA
Molecule: ribosomal RNA, 164 nt
Filed under: uncultured bacterium
Lineage: Bacteria
Description: partial 16S ribosomal RNA
Rfam family: Bacterial small subunit ribosomal RNA
Source: RNAcentral